AUUGAACGCUGGCGGCAGGCCUAACACAUGCAAGUCGAACGGUAACAGGAAACAGCUUGCUGUUUCGCUGACGAGUGGCGGACGGGUGAGUAAUGUUUGGGAAACUGCCUGAUGGAGGGGGAUAACUACUGGAAACGGUAGCUAAUACCGCAUAACGUCGCAAGACCAAAGAGGGGGACCCUCGGGCCUCUUGCCAUCGGAUGUGCCCAGAUGGGAUUAGCUUGUUGGUGGGGUAACGGCUCACCAAGGCGACGAUCCCUAGCUGGUCUGAGAGGAUGACCAGCCACACUGGAACUGAGACACGGUCCAGACUCCUACGGGAGGCAGCAGUGGGGAAUAUUGCACAAUGGGCGCAAGCCUGAUGCAGCCAUGCCGCGUGUAUGAAGAAGGCCUUCGGGUUGUAAAGUACUUUCAGCGGGGAGGAAGGGAGUAAAGUUAAUACCUUUGCUCAUUGACGUUACCCGCAGAAGAAGCACCGGCUAACUCCGUG
This 490-nucleotide ribosomal RNA is filed under the name uncultured bacterium. RNAcentral's name for it is "partial 16S ribosomal RNA". It matches the Rfam family "Bacterial small subunit ribosomal RNA", at positions 30 to 507 of the family's 1533-position model. The record is from RNAcentral.